CACCAGGUGGUCUGAUAUGGCUCCUUUUGAUUACUCUUUUGUCGGGAGGGGCAGACCUUUCCGGUUUUUAAGGGGCCUCCGCAAGAAAACGGACUCGGAGGUUUCUACUCUUGUCACGUCGAAGCUCGGCGUUGAUCUUGUCGUCUCUACUCUAUCGACCGAUGGUCAGGGCUUAUCCUUAGGUACCGCGGUCGGCGCUGGGGCACGAGGGGCGCAGAGGAUGAGCGGAGCAGACGUAGAGGCGGAGGCGAGAAGGCGCAGCGCCAGGCGGGGGACGACGGGCCAUCGGCGGCGCCCCCGCACGCGGAAGCCCAAGCUACGCCUCGCCGCCUGCUCCUCCGGCUCCAAGCCGCCCCACUCGUCCAAUUCCGCAGGCACCUCCUCUACCGCGGGCCGGAGCUGGAGCAGUGCGAGCGCCGGACGGAGCACCCGGAGGAGUGACCGCAGAGGCAACAGGAGAAGUUGGAAAGCCAAGUACUUUAUGCACUGGACGAAACCCUACCGUAUGGUGACGCUCCGCGAAGCACCGACUCCCUUCUUGGGUGGCGACUUUAAACCGUCUCUCACUAUAAACAAGGGCAGUCACCUCCGUAGUAUCAACCUCCCGACUUAUGCGAUUCUUCAAGAUAGUUUUGUUUGAGUCUACCGAGACAAAGAUUAUAUUUUCCACACAAAUCCGGUAAGAACUUUCGACACCGCCGUAGAAAGUGAGAGCCUUGACCGUUGAGAGACCCCGGACUCCCUGGGUCACACCUUUAUCCAAGACGAUAUCGCUUUCCUAAACCUUUACACAAACCCACCCUUCCGCCUUUUUUCGACAGAGAACACCGUCGACCCAGUCGUCGACCGUAACGUAGACCAAAAUUACGACGACAACGACCCACAAAAAAACGCCACCUCAGACAAAACACCGGAAGUAGACCGCUAAGAAGUAGGGAAAGGUUGAGUUGUGGAUACCACUAGGAGUCACGUCACUAUCGUAGACAAUAAAGUCUCUAACCAGAACCAAGACUAGGACGAAAGUGACAAGGUCUUAUACUAAAAGCGAGGGGUUGUCUCUAACUUUCAUACUCCUAUAAAUGUACUGAAGUAUUUACAGUCUUGAAGGAGAUAUAGAGAACGACCCGCACAAAACACCUCACCACAGUUAGUGGGAUAGAUCCACAUGUCGUGAUUGAUACCUGCACCAACUUGCGAAUGUUUUCUGUUGUCCUAACGGCUACCGACAUAGGGGACGGAAUCCACCGGAAUAACAACCAGAAGAGCGAGAACAUAUGGGACUUCAAGAGAUAACCCCGAAACUCUUACAACUAUAAAAUGACCUUAGCGCCGGUAAAUGUUCACCAGAGAGUCGUGGUCACAACCAAGUCGAGUAACCUCAUUUUUAUAACCGCUGCAGAAACACGUCCCGAAAACCUAACCAACCUCCAAUAAUACGUGGUAGGGAAAAAUAACCACGUCGAUGUCCGUACCGUAUACCGUUCAAGUACUCCAAAUGUAAAUGACCGAGACUUCGUGACAAAGUACAGGGGAAGGAUCUGCAUCGCAGUGGAGUUCGUAUACCAGACCAACCAUACCGUCGAUGUGAACGACCACAUACGUUCCACGGAGACUGUAGACAGGAGGAUGACAAACUUGAUUGCGUCCUGAUAGCAUAUCAAGACGGAAACGAACCACGACAACCUGAUAGUAGAACCUAGCGAAGAAGAGUUUCCAAGAGAUGGUCGUCAUUCCCAUUCGACCUAAGUAACCUCCUCUUUUGUUCGUGGUAACUUCUCCGUUUUUUACACGGGUGAGUUUGGGUUGUUGAGUGAAGACACCUAUCACAACUACGAUGCCGUCUUAAUACAUUUGAUCUUUCGAGCGAAACACAGAUACUACAGUCUCUACUAUUGCACGACCUUUUAGAAUGACAACGUCUCUGAUACUUUUGCUCUAUAUAAAGACAGAGUAACUUUUGAGGUCAUCAACUCCGUGAUUUAGAAUACGAACACCUCUUCGUUGGUAAACAAUACUAUUGACUCUCUUUAUUUAGAGAAAAUCCGAACGAUUGUCAGUUUCUAAAGGUCCUAAAGACGUUUUUACAUUUUUCAUGGUCCUACGUUGGACUCCAUCUACUUACAGACCAUAGAUUACAAACACCUCGGCAAUCUACAUUUUAUACCAGGCACUGUGGAGUCUACGGUGAAUGACGACGACUUUUCUAGUACCUAAGAGUACCUCAUCUGGUUCAAGGACAUCAAAGUCUUGUACAAUUAGUAGUCCUACCUCCUUAGAACUAACCAAAACAUCUGUCUCUUACGUAGUGGUAACGAGCUUCUCGAAACAGUCGUUUUCUUAAAAAGUCAAAGUGUAGCCUCUAGUCUUCCCUUCUCUCUACUACGCCUAAGUGAAUUAUUAAACGAACUAUAAGACCUCGAAACUUUAAAGUAAACGAGUACAGCCGAAUACACUAAUUCGACCAGUUGUCGGUUCUUUAGUAUUAGCUGGUCCAAACAAACCAUUGAAGUCUUAAGCCUUUCACUUCAUCGACCGACUUCAAAAAAGGUAAAGAUAGUUCUGACAUACACGUACGCGUCACGUAACGACGUAAUAACAACAUUCUCGUGCGAUAAAAGAGUCAUCAAUCUAGCGACGUGGAACGUGGAUUGAACACGUAUGGUGACAAGAGGAAAAGACGUUUUGUUUUACCUCAUACAAGUAAAUCCUUGACCCGGUCACGUACCCGUGAACUCGCACGGAUGAUGUGUCAUAUUAAGAAGUUGACUCUUAACUUGAUAAGCAGUUGCAUCUGUGAACUUUCUGUCCGUUAUUCUAGUCCGAUACAGUGUGAGCAUAAAGAGAAACGUACAACAAUCAUCAAACUUAAUUUACUUGGUUUAAACGUAUUCCCUCCCAAACAAACCGCCUUAGAAGACUAUUAAUAGCACAUAAGAAACGUUAGAAUACAUCGUUCAACAAACCAUUUUGUUGGAAGGGCAUCUCUUUGUCAAAGGUAAGCAUAGCGACACUGUUUACUUGGAAAUAACAACAUGCAAAUAGUGUACAAAGCUUCGAUCAAAGUUUAAAAGUUGUUGUCGUUGUUGUUUUGGAAAACAGGGUUCGUUCAACCCCCAUUCGAAUUUAAAAC
This 3130-nucleotide ribosomal RNA is filed under the name Triticum aestivum (bread wheat). RNAcentral describes it as "partial small subunit ribosomal RNA". Lineage: Eukaryota; Viridiplantae; Streptophyta; Magnoliopsida; Poales; Poaceae. The record is from RNAcentral.